RNAcentral lists this ribosomal RNA (497 nucleotides) under uncultured bacterium. RNAcentral describes it as "partial 16S ribosomal RNA". It matches the Rfam family "Bacterial small subunit ribosomal RNA", at positions 28 to 507 of the family's 1533-position model. The record is from RNAcentral.
GAUGAACGCUGGCGGCGUGCCUAAUACAUGCAAGUCGAGCGAACGGACGAGAAGCUUGCUUCUCUGUUGUUAGCGGCGGACGGGUGAGUAACACGUGGAUAACCUACCUAUAAGACUGGGAUAACUUCGGGAAACCGGAGCUAAUACCGGAUAUUAUCUUGAACCGCAUGGUUCAAAAGUGAAAGACGGUCUUUCUGUCACUUAUAGAUGUAUCCGCGCUGCAUUAGCUAGUUGGUAAGGUAACGGCUUACAAAGGCAACGAUGCAUAGCCGACCUGAGAGGGUGAACGACCACACUGGAGCUGAGGCACGGUCCAGACUCCAACGGGAGGCAGCAGUAGGGAAUCUUCCGCGAAGGGCGAAAGCCUAACGGAGCAACGCCGCAUGAGUGAUGAAGGUCUUCGGAUCGUAGAACUCUGUUAUUAGGGAAGAACAUAUGUGUAAGUAACUGUGCACAUCUUGACGGUACCUAAUCAGAAAGCCACGGCUAACUACGUG